RNAcentral lists this ribosomal RNA (790 nucleotides) under bacterium 38_xplvp95. RNAcentral's name for it is "bacterial SSU rRNA". It matches the Rfam family "Bacterial small subunit ribosomal RNA", at positions 50 to 853 of the family's 1533-position model. The record is from RNAcentral. RNAcentral also lists the same sequence under 1 other name.
UACACAUGCAGUCGACGAUGAUGGAGAGCUUGCUCUUCGGAUUAGUGGCGAACGGGUGAGUAACACGUGAGUAACCUGCCCUUGACUCUGGGAUAAGCGUUGGAAACGACGUCUAAUACCGGAUACGAACCGCGAAGGCAUCUUCAGUGGUUGGAAAGAAUUUUGGUCAAGGAUGGACUCGCGGCCUAUCAGGUAGUUGGUGAGGUAAUGGCUCACCAAGCCUACGACGGGUAGCCGGCCUGAGAGGGUGACCGGCCACACUGGGACUGAGACACGGCCCAGACUCCUACGGGAGGCAGCAGUGGGGAAUAUUGCACAAUGGGCGAAAGCCUGAUGCAGCAACGCCGCGUGAGGGACGACGGCCUUCGGGUUGUAAACCUCUUUUAGCAGGGAAGAAGCGAAAGUGACGGUACCUGCAGAAAAAGCACCGGCUAACUACGUGCCAGCAGCCGCGGUAAUACGUAGGGUGCAAGCGUUGUCCGGAAUUAUUGGGCGUAAAGAGCUCGUAGGCGGUUUGUCGCGUCUGCUGUGAAAACUGGAGGCUCAACCUCCAGCCUGCAGUGGGUACGGGCAGACUAGAGUGCGGUAGGGGAGAUUGGAAUUCCUGGUGUAGCGGUGGAAUGCGCAGAUAUCAGGAGGAACACCGAUGGCGAAGGCAGAUCUCUGGGCCGUAACUGACGCUGAGGAGCGAAAGGGUGGGGAGCAAACAGGCUUAGAUACCCUGGUAGUCCACCCCGUAAACGUUGGGAACUAGAUGUGGGGACCAUUCCACGGUCUCCGUGUCGCAGCU